RNAcentral lists this ribosomal RNA (621 nucleotides) under Triticum aestivum (bread wheat). RNAcentral describes it as "partial small subunit ribosomal RNA". The record is from RNAcentral. Lineage: Eukaryota; Viridiplantae; Streptophyta; Magnoliopsida; Poales; Poaceae.
AUGAAUAUCUUGUCUUGGAACUGCUUGGGAGAGGGGGGCCGUCGGACAGUUCGUGAGGUUUUGGCCCUCUCAAAAGCCAACAACCCCAAGCUAGUGUUUCUCUGCGAGACUAGACAGGAUGCAACCAAAGUAGAGAAAAUGAAGUGGAGGCUGGGGCUAAAAGUCUUCCACGGAGUCAGUAGUGAUGGAAGAUGCGGUGGGCUAGCUUUGUUCUGGGAUGAGAAUCUCACAGUUAUAGUGCUUGAAUCUUGCAAUAGGUUCAUUGAUGUCCGUAUCCCUGAAGGAGGCUCCGGUAUUUCAUGGAUAGGUACCUUUGUAUAUGGGGAGCCAAGAGUGGAAAAUCGCCAGCCUAUGUGGGAUCAUCUGUGCCGAUUGCGUGCUAUUUUGCGAGAGCCAUGGGUUGUAUGUGGUGACUUCAAUGAAGCACUCUGGCAGUACGAGCAUCUGUCAAGAUCAGCUCGAGCGGAGGCACAAAUGUCAGUGUUCAGGGACUGUUUACAAACAUGCGACCUAGAGGAACUCGGGUUCUCUGGUCUUCCCUUCACAUACAAUAAUGGUCAGGAUGAAAAUCGCAAUGUACAGGUCCGCCUCGAUCGGGCUUGUGUGGAUGAGGCGCUAUGA